UCGAAAAAAUAUAAGUGAUGUGUCAGGAAGCAAAAUUAAAAAUAUUCAUAAAUUUGUUAAUUGGUUGCGUUUUAUUUCGUUUUGCACCCUUAACCACGUCAAACCAACUUAGGGGAGAGGUAUUGAAAACAAUUAAGGAUUUUAUCAUUCAAUCCAAACUAUAUUUUUGUGAAAAAAUUAGAUUUCAUUUUUCUUUUAAAUCAUACAAAUCCAAAUCAGAAAACUUUUACGAAAAGGCAUAUAACAUAUGAACAAAAUGAAAUGUAUACUUCGUUUUUAUUAACAACUAGCUGACCCGGGCCCGCUCCGUUGCGCCUUCUUUUACUUUAUAUGGAACAAAACUAUUCUUUGCAAAUUUAUUUUCGACAAUUAAAAAGCUUUUAGUAAAAUACCAUGCUACGAAAAAUAGAAUAUGUAUAUCGCUUGACUAAUAACAUAACAAAAUAAAUGCCUUUAUCUGAA
This is a long non-coding RNA of Stomoxys calcitrans (stable fly), 462 nucleotides long. RefSeq lists it as uncharacterized. The record is from RefSeq and is a predicted model, not a curated record. The transcript is spliced from 2 exons. Lineage: Eukaryota; Metazoa; Arthropoda; Insecta; Diptera; Muscidae.